UGAGCCCAGUGUGCGAGAGGCGGCCAUCAGGUUCAUCGGGGUGGCCACGCGGCACCUGAGGAACCGAAACAAAGAGCAACUGGAUGAGAUCUGCAGUGCCCUUCAGCCCUUGAAGACAGACAGCAAUGUAGUCGUCUCUUCCCUGGCAGAACAGACCAUCGGCAUCCUGGAGGCUUUAGGACCAACACCAAGCCCUCGAUUCAGGCCAGAAGCACUGCUCUUCUGGCGCCGACGUUCACAGC
Chiroxiphia lanceolata (lance-tailed manakin) is the source of this 242-nucleotide long non-coding RNA. RefSeq lists it as uncharacterized. NCBI's taxonomy places the organism in Eukaryota, Metazoa, Chordata, Aves, Passeriformes, Pipridae. The record is from RefSeq and is a predicted model, not a curated record. The transcript has 3 exons.